UUAAUAUCUGUUACUAUAACUUUAUUAACUGCAUAUUUAUUAUCUAAGUUCACAUUUGACAUGCCGUCUCUUAUCAAAAAGGUAGAGCCACAUGUGCACACUUUAACAGGAUCCGACUGAAAUAAUGGGGGCUCUUUGUGUGUUUGGUUUAUUUCUAGUUGCAUCGUUCUUGACUGUCGAGGGAAUAGGAAGCGCAUGUCAAGACAUAGAUCACGACGCAUGCGUGGCAAUGAGCAGGCAAAAUACACAACUAUGCUCUGAUCAAAUUCUAGCAAAUACGGCUUGCCCCGCACACUGCAAAAGUUGCCCUGUCACAUGUUACAACUGCAAUACGACAACAC
This is a long non-coding RNA of Mercenaria mercenaria, 341 nucleotides long. RefSeq lists it as uncharacterized. The transcript has 3 exons. NCBI's taxonomy places the organism in Eukaryota, Metazoa, Mollusca, Bivalvia, Venerida, Veneridae. The record is from RefSeq and is a predicted model, not a curated record.